This 388-nucleotide ribosomal RNA is filed under the name uncultured bacterium. RNAcentral describes it as "bacterial SSU rRNA". It matches the Rfam family "Bacterial small subunit ribosomal RNA", at positions 28 to 417 of the family's 1533-position model. The record is from RNAcentral.
GACGAACGCUGGCGGCGUGCUUAACACAUGCAAGUCGAGCGGUAAGGCCCUUUCGGGGGUACACGAGCGGCGAACGGGUGAGUAAUACGUGGGUGACCUGCCCUCAGCUCUGGGAUAAGCCUGGGAAACCGGGUCUAAUACUGGAUAUGACUCCAUGACGCAUGUUGUGGGGUGGAAAGCCUUGUGCGGCUGAGGAUGGGCCCGCGGCCUAUCAGCUUGUUGGUGGGGUGANGGCCUACCAAGGCGACGACGGGUAGCCGGCCUGAGAGGGCGACCGGCCACACUGGGACUGAGACACGGCCCAGACUCCUACGGGAGGCAGCAGUGGGGAAUCUUGCGCAAUGGGCGAAAGCCUGACGCAGCGACGCCGCGUGAGGGAUGACGGCCU